GGCGAACGGGUGAGUAAUACAUCGGAACGUGCCCUUUAGUGGGGGAUAGCUCGGCGAAAGCCGGAUUAAUACCGCAUACGACCUACGGGUGAAAGCGGGGGACCGCAAGGCCUCGCGCUAUUGGAGCGGCCGAUGCCCGAUUAGCUAGUUGGUGAGGUAAAGGCUCACCAAGGCAACGAUCGGUAGCUGGUCUGAGAGGACGACCAGCCACACUGGGACUGAGACACGGCCCAGACUCCUACGGGAGGCAGCAGUGGGGAAUUUUGGACAAUGGGCGCAAGCCUGAUCCAGCCAUGCCGCGUGCGGGAAGAAGGCCUUCGGGUUGUAAACCGCUUUUGGCAGGAACGAAACGGCGCGGGCGAAUAUCCCGCGCUAAUGACGGUACCUGCAGAAUAAGCACCGGCUAACUACGUGCCAGCAGCCGCGGUAAUACGUAGGGUGCGAGCGUUAAUCGGAAUUACUGGGCGUAAAGCGUACGCAGGCGGCCAUGCAAGACAGAUGUGAAAUCCCCGGGCUCAACCUGGGAACUGCAUUUGUGACUGCAUGGCUAGAGUCCGUUAGA
Molecule: ribosomal RNA, 562 nt
Filed under: uncultured incertae sedis 5 bacterium
Lineage: Bacteria
Description: bacterial SSU rRNA
Rfam family: Bacterial small subunit ribosomal RNA
Source: RNAcentral